CAAUAGAGGUGCGAAUGACAGGGUACCCGUCCGAUCGGCUCGGCAGCCGGCGGUUUCGUGCGGGAAAGGGGUCGUUCGCCGAAGAGAUCGGAUGCGCCGGAUCCGGUUUCUGGCAUCGCCGUGCAAGCGGCUGUGCUGUCAUGUUCAAAGAGCAUGGAGCGCUAUUGGU
This 169-nucleotide non-coding RNA is filed under the name bovine gut metagenome. RNAcentral's name for it is "Lysine riboswitch". It matches the Rfam family "Lysine riboswitch aptamer". Rfam says of the family: Riboswitches are metabolite binding domains within certain messenger RNAs that serve as precision sensors for their corresponding targets. Allosteric rearrangement of mRNA structure is mediated by ligand binding, and this results in modulation of gene expression. The record is from RNAcentral.